AAUAAGUAUGGCUUAUCCGAAGGAGAAUUGGGCACUGAUUCCGAUGAGCUAUGUCUCGAGCCGAUCAGAGAAGAGGAACCGUGUCAAAUUUCAUAAAUAACACCUUCCAUAUUUGGAAAUUGGGCUUGAUGACGUGCGUACUGCUUAGCUGUCACCAUGCUGUGCAUGCUCAGCAGUGUAAUUGAAUGGAAGAAAACAAUUACUUUGGUGUUUUGCAGCUCUGGUUCGUUCCCUGACGGUAACCAAAUCUAGAUGUAGGAAUCUGUUGAGCAGGAGAGUGACACAUGUCUUCCCGAGGGCUGUCCAGGCUGCAGUGGUGAUGAAGAAGACACGAUCAUCACCCCGAGAUCCAUUGUAGCGAAUUGGAAAACUCAUGGUGAAUUUGCUUCCACUCCAAGGCAAUGUCGAGGUAUGAAGGGUGCUUGUAAUGCCUUCCAAAGUGAAGAGGAGAUGAACAUGGCUUUGCAUAGCUGUUGUUCUACGCCAACUUACCUACUCUUGCUGGUACCGUAGUGGCAUAUUGCAAAUUUCGUGGACGAACAACUCUAGUCACUAGUGGCUAGUGAGCAACACUAACAGACCAGAAUGCUUCGCUAUCAACUCCUGGCUUUCCAUCGGCAUGGUGUUCAGCUGCAGCGGCAUCUGGUCCGGGGAGUUGCUGGAUGGCUGCACUGACACAGGAUGGGUUUGCGUUGGCAAUGCGAUACGGCAGUCAUCCCACAUCAUGAGCUACAUGUUUAUGUAAUUUAUAUUGUCGCUCGUCCAGCAACGUCAAGGCUCUGCAUGUAAACACAGGAGAACACCAUAAUACUACUGAGGGGAUAAUAUUACAAUUUUGGAUUAUCAAUUUCGUGACAUUUAUGAGCAAGUUCCUGUUUAAACCAUGCUGUGAUAUUGAUUGCUAUCUGCUCACAAAGUACCUUGUAUUGUAACAAUACUCUGCCUAAUCACCACCCUCCGCCAAUUAUUAGAUUCACACAAUAUUCACAACGUAUGCAACACGAUGCUGUCUAUUGACACUACUUCGAACUGAAAUGCUCACUACUCUUCUCCCGUUUUCAUCUCCCUCUACCUUAUGAAUACUCUACAUUACUGGUUUCGUUUCUACCCUUUCCAUUGCUACCAGCUCCCAGUCUUUUUCAAUGCACAGCACCACCUUGAAUUUUUUUGUGAUUUGAUGUACACAUACUUUGAAGUUGAAAUUCGAAUUACAUGAUCAGAUUUUUGUUCCACAUUUUCUAUUUAUUUUUACUUCAAGCACAACCCUACCGACGAAGGGAAAGAAGCAGCAGAGAGA
Molecule: long non-coding RNA, 1297 nt
Organism: Sycon ciliatum
Lineage: Eukaryota; Metazoa; Porifera; Calcarea; Leucosolenida; Sycettidae
Exons: 2
Source: RefSeq, a predicted model, not a curated record